This 522-nucleotide ribosomal RNA is filed under the name uncultured bacterium. RNAcentral describes it as "bacterial SSU rRNA". It matches the Rfam family "Bacterial small subunit ribosomal RNA", at positions 8 to 524 of the family's 1533-position model. The record is from RNAcentral.
AGAGUUUGAUCCUGGCUCAGAUUGAACGCUGGCGGAAUGCUUUACACAUGCAAGUCGAACGGCAGCACGGGUGCUUGCACCUGGUGGCGAGUGGCGAACGGGUGAGUAAUACAUCGGAACGUACCUUAUCGUGGGGGAUAACGCAGCGAAAGCUGUGCUAAUACCGCAUACGCCCUGAGGGGGAAAGCGGGGGAUCGCAAGACCUCGCGCGAUUAGAGCGGCCGAUGCCUGAUUAGCUAGUUGGUGGGGUAAAAGCCCACCAAGGCGACGAUCAGUAGCUGGUCUGAGAGGACGAUCAGCCACACUGGGACUGAGACACGGCCCAGACUCCUACGGGAGGCAGCAGUGGGGAAUUUUGGACAAUGGGGGCAACCCUGAUCCAGCAAUGCCGCGUGAGUGAAGAAGGCCUUCGGGUUGUAAAGCUCUUUUGUCAGGGAAGAAACACCGGCUCUAACACAGUCCGGGAAUGACGGUACCUGAAGAAUAAGCACCGGCUAACUACGUGCCAGCAGCCGCGGUAAU